This 478-nucleotide ribosomal RNA is filed under the name uncultured bacterium. RNAcentral's name for it is "partial 16S ribosomal RNA". It matches the Rfam family "Bacterial small subunit ribosomal RNA", at positions 28 to 523 of the family's 1533-position model. The record is from RNAcentral.
GAUGAACGCUGACAGAAUGCUUAACACAUGCAAGUCUACCAAGAAUCACUUCGGCGAGGAAUGGUGGCGGACGGGUGAGUAACGCGUAAAUAAUCUGCCCUUUAGACUGGGAUAUCCUUUGGAAACGAAGGUUAAUACCGGAUAUUAUGAGAUGGACGCAUGUUCAACUUAUGAAAGCUAAAUGCACUAGAGGAGGAGUUUGCGUCCCAUUAGCUAGUUGGUGAGGUAAAGGCUCACCAAGGCCACGAUGGGUAGCCGGCCUGAGAGGGUGAACGGCCACAAGGGAACUGAGACACGGUCCUUACUCCGACGGGAGGCAGCAGUGGGGAAUAUUGGACAAUGGACCAAAAGUCUGAUCCAGCAAUUCUGUGUGCACGAUGAAGGUCUUCGGAUUGUAAAGUGCUUUCAGUAGGGAAGAAAAAAAUGACGGUACCUACAGAAGAAGCGACGGCUAAAUAUGUGCCAGCAGCCGCGGUAA